ACUCCUACGGGAGGCAGCAGUGGGGAAUCUUAGACAAUGGGCGCAAGCCUGAUCUAGCCAUGCCGCGUGAGUGAUGAAGGCCUUAGGGUCGUAAAGCUCUUUCGCCAGGGAUGAUAAUGACAGUACCUGGUAAAGAAACCCCGGCUAACUCCGUGCCAGCAGCCGCGGUAAUACGGAGGGGGUUAGCGUUGUUCGGAAUUACUGGGGCGUAAAGCGCGCGUAGGCGGAUUAGUCAGUUAGAGGUGAAAUCCCGGGGCUCAACCCCGGAACUGCCUUUAAUACUGCUAGUCUUGAGUUCGAGAGAGGUGAGUGGAAUUCCGAGUGUAGAGGUGAAAUUCGUAGAUAUUCGGAGGAACACCAGUGGCGAAGGCGGCUCACUGGCUCGAUACUGACGCUGAGGUGCGAAAGUGUGGGGAGCAAACAGGAUUAGAUACCCUGGUAGGAUAGCG
This 449-nucleotide ribosomal RNA is filed under the name uncultured bacterium. Its description in RNAcentral is "bacterial SSU rRNA". It matches the Rfam family "Bacterial small subunit ribosomal RNA", at positions 335 to 799 of the family's 1533-position model. The record is from RNAcentral.